GACGAACGCUGGCGGCGUGCUUAGCACAUGCAAGUCGAACGAUGAAGCUGGAGCUUGCUCCGGUGGAUUAGUGGCGAACGGGUGAGUAACACGUGAGCAAUCUGCCCUUCACUCUGGGAUAACUGCGGGAAACUGUAGCUAAUACCGGAUACGAGGCUUGGAGGCAUCUCCAGGUCUGGAAAGAAUUUCGGUGAAGGAUGAGCUCGCGGCCUAUCAGCUUGUUGGUGAGGUAAUGGCUCACCAAGGCGACGACGGGUAGCCGGCCUGAGAGGGUGACCGGCCACACUGGGACUGAGACACGGCCCAGACUCCUACGGGAGGCAGCAGUGGGGAAUAUUGCACAAUGGGCGAAAGCCUGAUGCAGCAACGCCGCGUGAGGGAUGAAGGCCUUCGGGUUGUAAACCUCUUUUAGCAGGGAAGGAGCGAAAGUGACGGUACCUGCAGAAAAAGCACCGGCUAACUACGUGCCAGCCGCCGCGGUAA
This 483-nucleotide ribosomal RNA is filed under the name uncultured bacterium. RNAcentral's name for it is "partial 16S ribosomal RNA". It matches the Rfam family "Bacterial small subunit ribosomal RNA", at positions 28 to 523 of the family's 1533-position model. The record is from RNAcentral.